UGAGGGUGGCUGCUCCUAGUACGAGAGGACCGGAGUGGACGCAUCACUGGUGUUCGGGUUGUCAUGCCAAUGGCACUGCCCGGUAGCUAAAUGCGGAAGAGAUAAGUGCUGAAAGCAUCUAAGCACGAAACUUGCCCCGAGAUGAGUUCUCCCUGACUCCUUGAGAGUCCUGAAGGAACGUUGAAGACGACGACGUUGAUAGGCCGGGUGUGUAAGCGCAGCGAUGCGUUGAGCUAACCGGUACUAAUGAACCGUGAGGCUUAACCUU
Molecule: ribosomal RNA, 268 nt
Filed under: Escherichia coli
Lineage: Bacteria; Pseudomonadati; Pseudomonadota; Gammaproteobacteria; Enterobacterales; Enterobacteriaceae
Description: partial 23S ribosomal RNA
Rfam family: Bacterial large subunit ribosomal RNA
Source: RNAcentral